CACGUAGGAGGCAAACGUUAUCCGGAUUUACUGGGCGUAAAGCGCGUGUAGGUGGUUCUGUAAGUAGGGCGUGAAAGCUCCCGGCUCAACUGGGAGAGGCCGUUCUAAACUGCAGAACUAGAGGAUGGUAGAGGGAGGUGGAAUUCCAGGUGUAGCGGUGGAAUGCGCAGAUAUCUGGAGGAACACCAGUGGCGAAAGCGGCCUCCUGGACCAUUCCUGACACUCAGACGCGAAAGCUAGGGUAGCAAACGGGAUUAGAUACCCGCGUAGU
This 271-nucleotide ribosomal RNA is filed under the name uncultured prokaryote. RNAcentral's name for it is "partial 16S ribosomal RNA". It matches the Rfam family "Bacterial small subunit ribosomal RNA", at positions 524 to 794 of the family's 1533-position model. The record is from RNAcentral.